AGGACAGAGCAAGUGGCGCAUUUAGAAGCAGCCACAGGUCGCCUGCAUGGUUGCCGGGCCUGGGCUGCUCUGAGCUCC
Molecule: microRNA precursor, 78 nt
Filed under: Octodon degus (degu)
Lineage: Eukaryota; Metazoa; Chordata; Mammalia; Rodentia; Octodontidae
Description: miRNA (ENSODEG00000021860.1)
Source: RNAcentral